Poecilia reticulata (guppy) is the source of this 456-nucleotide long non-coding RNA. RefSeq lists it as uncharacterized. The record is from RefSeq and is a predicted model, not a curated record. Lineage: Eukaryota; Metazoa; Chordata; Actinopteri; Cyprinodontiformes; Poeciliidae.
GUUAUAAUCUUGCUGUAAAGUUUUAUACUUMAUGGAAGAUACACAUAUUUAAUGAAAUACAGYGGGCCUGGAAGUGAAACCUCCCUGAGUGCCAAACAGUUUUUCUGUCAUCAGAUCAUUUAUARUGKAGAUUUUAAAUAAAAUCAGCAUUUGUUUUCAUUCAAACCACUUUWUGUGUGGAGGAASUCCUGACUCCAGUCUGCAGCGGCUCUCUGCACAGCAGCAGAGUUCUGUGCCAGUCAUUGAUUGAUUKGUUGUUUGUGUUUUACUUUAUGAUAUGAUUUUGGUUGUAACAGAGGCAACGACAGAAAAGCCAUUCUCAGAGGAACGAAGUGGCAAAAAGGACUCAGGCAGCCUGAAGUGACCCAGAGCAGAUUUUUCUUUUGCCCUUAUGUGACCUAAAUCUCAUCUUUUCAUAACAGUCUGAACACCACAAAUCAGAUUCUAUAAAUGUGA